CCGUAGCUCAGCCCGGUAGAGCAGUUGACUUUUAAUCAAUUGGUCGCAGGUUCAAAUCCUGCCGGGC
This 67-nucleotide transfer RNA is filed under the name marine eukaryotic metagenome. It matches the Rfam family "tRNA", at positions 5 to 66 of the family's 71-position model. Rfam says of the family: Transfer RNA (tRNA) molecules are approximately 80 nucleotides in length. The record is from RNAcentral.